RNAcentral lists this ribosomal RNA (263 nucleotides) under uncultured bacterium. RNAcentral's name for it is "partial 16S ribosomal RNA". It matches the Rfam family "Bacterial small subunit ribosomal RNA", at positions 92 to 353 of the family's 1533-position model. The record is from RNAcentral.
CGACCGGCGCACGGGUGAGUAACACGUAUCCAACCUGCCGUCUACUCUUGGACAGCCUUCUGAAAGGAAGAUUAAUACAAGAUGGCAUCAUGAGUCCGCAUGUUCACAUGAUUAAAGGUAUUCCGGUAGACGAUGGGGAUGCGUUCCAUUAGAUAGUAGGCGGGGUAGCGGCCCACCUAGUCUUCGAUGGGUAGGGGUUCUGAGAGGAAGGUCCCCCACAUUGGAACUGAGACACGGUCCAAACUCCUACGGGAGGCAGCAUG